CACAAAUUCCUUGUCCUCUCUACAUUAGUUCUGCCACAGCAUCAGAAUAUACUUUAAGAAUUUUGUGAGAUAUAAACUCUUUGAAAGCUGCUCCUAUUAGCCUCUGCUGUCCUUAAUAUAGCAUGUCUUCCUUUAGUGAUAUGCAGUGAGAGGACCUAUGGAAGUAGAAUCACACUGUCUUACCUGCCCCUCUCUCGCAACUUAGACAGGGACAGUUUUCUAUAGCUCUUGUUGCAAACAAAAC
Non-coding RNA from Pelobates cultripes (western spadefoot toad), 244 nucleotides. The record is from the annotation of a GenBank genome assembly. NCBI's taxonomy places the organism in Eukaryota, Metazoa, Chordata, Amphibia, Anura, Pelobatidae.